This is a long non-coding RNA of Apis cerana (Asiatic honeybee), 3341 nucleotides long. RefSeq lists it as uncharacterized. The record is from RefSeq and is a predicted model, not a curated record. NCBI's taxonomy places the organism in Eukaryota, Metazoa, Arthropoda, Insecta, Hymenoptera, Apidae.
CGAACGCGGCUAAUGGGCCGAGCUCACGUCGCGGCUGGCUUAACGAUCAAGUUCGAUUUCUCUUGGCAUCGCUGUCGCGCGUGCACACGCAUAUACACUGUGCGCGUAUCGCACGUGUACACGGGGUGCCUUUGAAAAUUAUCGUCGAUUUAGCUCGAUACGUGAACGGACCACCUUCCACGAGCGAGUGACACCCAGGCCGUGCGACCGAUCUCGACCUUUCCGCCUUACUCGAGCUUCUUCGUGAAGGGAUUGAAGCGAAAAUUAAGGAGGAGGAGUAUCAUCUAAGAAUUCAGCAUUAUACGAUUUUUGUCGAUGAAUUAUAUAUGUAUAUUUUUAAUCGAUUUCUUUUUUUAACGCGUGUUUCAGUGUUUACAUGUUCUUUAAAGGAUAUUAUGUGGUAGAGCAGAGUUGUAAAACUGGCGAUGGCUAUCAUUACUAUGAUCUAUUUUAACUUCAGUGAAAGUAUGUAUAUAUUCUUUUGUGACAUACUUGUUUUCAAAGAUUGUAGACGGAUUACAUUAAAAUUCACUUGGUUUAAUCACUUGCACUUGCGAUCGUUAAGCGAGAUUUUUCCGGAUGAUAAGGAAAAAAAAAAAAAAGGAAAAUAAAUAAACGUGAAGAGAAUCUUUUCGACCGUUAAAGAAAACGAUAAAUCAAUCUAAUGGGUUGGGAUUUUAACGAAAACUCCAAGCUCGUUCUAUUGUGAAUAUUCUUAGCGAUUAUUCUAUAGGAAACCAUAAUUUCCAUAGAAAACCACAAUCCGAAUCGAAUUUGAAAGACACUUCUAAAUCGUGAAUGAACCGUAUUCUCUUAAUGUAUUAUAUAUUUUUAUGGAUAUUAUUAAUAGAAUUAUUAGGUAAGCAAGAUUCCAUGUAAUAAAUUAUUAGAAUCGUCGUGAGUAAAUUUUGAUAUUAAAAUCUGUGCAAAUAACUGUACGGUUGUGUCGAUCAUCAUCUCGGUGUUUUCGCUACGUUAUUAUCCACACUGUUAUUCCGUGUAAUCUACAGAAAUCAAGGAUCGGGACAACACCUCGUUAUUAUUCCAUUUGCGAAAUUUCACGAGAUCGAUCGAUCCGCCGAGUAAAUAACACCAAUUUAAAAGGACGGCAUAACGAUGCGUACGUUGGCUCGGUGUUUGCGCCACCAGGAAGAGAACGCGCUGCACUUGGUGCAGUUUAUAGAAAGCACCGAUUGCGUUGGUGGCUUCGCCUCUCUCUCUCUCUCUCUUUUUCUCCAUAUGUCAAUGCACAAAUACGCUCGCGCGAGAGCCGUUCAUCCGUUGCGAGCCGAUCGGAUACUUUGAUUACGGAUCGGAUGAAACAACAGCGUGGAAGAGAUCUAUGAUGCGUUUUUUAAUAUACUCGAAAAGAGAGGAAGGAUUAACGUAAUGAUCGGGUUAUUAAGAUGGAUUACAGCGAAUUAAAGGGAUAUUAAAAGAUAAGAGUUCAAUUUUUAAGUUGAUAGGGAAGAAAAGGAAUAUUUCUUACCAAUUUUUUACUCAUUGUAUCGUAAUUGUGUUAUCCGCAAUUGCGAUCCGUUGCACGAUGGCAAGCGAGUUUUGAAAUGGAAUAUACAUCACAUUUUAAGGUCAAAGGUGUAUACAGUCUGAAUGUGUUCCAUAAAUCCAGCACAAACUAACAAUAGAUACUUCGAUUUUUCUCCGUACAUAAAUUUACGUCCUCGUUAAAUCAUAGAAUCGCUACGUAGGCGUGGAUCCUUUAUUAAUGGAUACGGACACGGGUGGAAUGGAUGAUUCCGUUUGAAGAACGAAAUCAAAAAGAUUAGAAUAGAAAUUUUUAUAUUAUGAUUAAUAAUCACGCUUUUACAAUCAUCGUAAAUUUUACGCAAUAUUUACCCGUAAAAAGCAAUAUAUUUAACUUGUAGAACGAGAAUAGAAUAUAUUCCUUCGUGCUGUUUGUCUUUUUGUUUUUGUCGAAUCGCGUGCUAUUGUGUUGCCACAUGUAGCCGCAUGCACGAGAGAGCCGCGCAUGCGCGUGUGUCUAUAUAGAUGCCUAUAGAGGUAUCAAGCGGAGCUCGAGUUAAAAGCGUGCAGUGUUCUCUUGUGCUCCUCGUGCUGGUGGGACCUUGUUUCAUGACCCACAUAAAGCAAGGCCGUUAACACUACUCACGAGUUGCGCGCGUAUGGGUGCGGGCCCCAACGAGCUACUCGCCGUUCUAUGGGACCCCACGUGUCCCCUCCACGGUUGCCGAGGCGAGGGGGAGGGGGAGAGGGGGAGGGAGGAGGCUCGACGACGUGCCCCUCUGAUAUACGCUACCUGCAUAUACCGGCAUGUACCUGUAUGUGCCUUCAUAUUACCAUACAUCACGUGUACGUGUACGUGUAAGAUGAAGCAGAGAAGAUGGACUUGUUAGUAUGCGUAAGACAAGUGGACCUGUAUGUCGAAAUGCGUGUGCGUGCACGAGAGAGCUUGAGAGUCUGUAUACAGGUCUGAAUCUGUUCCUAACUACGUAAAUAAUUAACCGUUGAUAGAGAAGUGGAGAAAUAUUAUUAUGACCUGAAAUAUUAUUAUGUUUACUGAUGCAAUCAUGUUAUACGGAUUAAUAGAGAGUAAAGGGGGAUGGAAAGCGAAGGAAAGAAAAUUAGUUGUUUUCAAAUAUUUCUAUAUUAUCUAUUCGAGUAGGCAAUAUAUGUAAGCGUCCACAUUCAAUAAUAAAGGAUGAUUGUUUGUUAAAAAUGUGUGUGCUGUGUACGAGCAGUAUUUGACGUUGAAAAAAAUUUUUAUCCAAGAAAUGUUCCAAAGCGAAGAGAAAAUCAGUGUCACUGUUUAUAUUUAUAUAUCGAAAACCGAAGCAAUAAAGGAUACGUAUACCGAAAGUUAAGCGGGAGAAAAAAAAGUUAGGUCCUGGGUCCUGUUCGUGUAGUACUUAUGUAGCAUUUAUAGCGUGCGCACUGAAUGCACAUCCGUAUACGAGUGUGUGCGUGACUGGACAAGUUAGUAGGUCACACGGAUUCAGGAAUAUAUCGGUGGGCGUGAGUCGUACACACCAGUAUCCAACAUAUCGUAUGCCCACGGAGAACUGUGACUUCAAACGCGGCUUCACGAGGUACCUUGAUCUUGACUAGAUGCAAGGUCCAUUUCGCUGUCGUCGUACGUUCAAUAAGGCAUUGCUCCUAUUUGCUUUCGCAUUGUUUGCAUUGCUACCGCGUAUUAAACGGAUUUCAUGCGUAGCUAGACUUUAAAUAGGGAAAGUUUUAAAACUUAUUAUAUAUUUACAAAUUUUCCGUUAAAUCUAUUCGUAUAACGUAUUACAACAAAAUUGCAUACUUUGUAUUAGAAAAGAUCUGGAAAUUUUAAUAAAAAAUAAAAAUAAAAAUAA